This is a long non-coding RNA of Oncorhynchus tshawytscha (Chinook salmon), 1651 nucleotides long. The record is from Ensembl. Lineage: Eukaryota; Metazoa; Chordata; Actinopteri; Salmoniformes; Salmonidae.
GUUGUAGAGGUUUGCCCUUUAACUUGUAGCUACUGGAUAUAUGUGCUGGGUACUUCCACUUACAUUUCAGGUACUGCUCACUGCCAUACAUUAAAAUACAGAAAAUGCUCUUGGUCAAAACUGAAGUCUGUUUUUUUUGGAUGGUAUUAUGUUAUACCUCUUUUGCUUCAAUGGGUAACAAACAUUGCCAUGACUCCUGUAACACAUCCACCCUCCAGGCUCCACUAGGCUCUGCGGUGCUCCUGUCAUGCAGCUUUGGGUCCACCUCUCUGGGCAUUAGCCCUGGCCAUGGCUGGGUGGUGUGGAACCAGGGCUCUGGUUCUGGUGCCAGCCUGGUCAACAUCACGUCCUCUGGGAAGGUGGACUUUCCGGACCCCAGGCAGGGCAGAGUGAAGGCUUUCCCCAAUCAGGGAGGUCUGGGGAACUUCUCCAUCCUAAUCGAUGCCCUUCAGGCCUCAGACGUGGGCUCCUACUGUUGUGAGCUGCAGAGUCAUGACCAGUGCCAUCGAGUGGAAGUUGAAGAACUUGAAGAAGGUUCACACAUCGUGUUGUUUUUCAGCGUCGGCAGUUUGGCCAUCCUCCUAGUGCUCCUAAGUGGCUGUUUCUGCUGAGUGAAAUGGACACGAGUUUCUACUGAAAGAACACCAGACUAUAUCAACACCCAUUUCUGUGCAGGAUCCAGUGCACCUCCUGAGGAUGUUGCAUGUAGUGACAAUGUCGGGAGAGAUGUGGUACAGGAGAGAGGAGUCGGCAAUGAGCGACCGAUCUAUGAAAACAAUGAACAUGAUCCAACCAGAAUGCAGCAUGAUCCGACCAGAAUUCACCAUGAUCCGACCACAAUUCAGCACGAUCCGACCAGAAUUCAGCACGAUCCAACCAGAAUUCAGCAUGAUCCCACCAGAAUUCAGCAUGAUCCCACCACAAUUCAGCACGAUCUGUCCAGAAUUCAGCAUGAUCCCACCACAAUUCAGCAUGAUCCAACCAGAAUUCAGCAUGAUCCAACCAGAAUUCAACAUGAAGCACAAAGAAACCAGCACGAACCAGUUAGAUACAAAAAUAAAUUGAGAGAUUCGAGUGAGAACAGAAGACAGGGGUUUCAUGGAGAACUCAUGAGCAGAUUGCGCCAAUCAAGUCUCGGACAGCGUUACUAUGCAAACCAAGCCGAUAUCAACCAGCAAACCAGAGUUCAGAUGGACAACCACCAAAGAGCAAACGAAGCAAAGAUCAACCAGGAUGGCAGAUCCCAAAUGGACAACUGCCAAAGAGCUGUCCUACACACUAUGCUUUACAGUAAUCUCUGAAACAAAUCAAUAUGCACUCUAGCAUUUUGUUAUUAAAGCAUUGUCUCCUCAUUGCAGGAAGCUUUUGGAGAAAGAAACCCAAAGAGCGUAAGUUGCUUUUUUUUUUACACACAACAUACUGUAUAAUCAUAAUAAUUUAUAUUAAGACCUCUCUCUCUCCCAGAAUGUGAAUAUGAAAACCCAAUCUAUAACAGUGUAGUCCAACUCCACAAACUAUAGACGAGGAUGAAGAGGAUACUGGGUCUCAACUCCUUGGUCUCAAUUUUGUUUAGAUUGUAUUUUAUUAUUUUUUGUAAAUAAAGUACAUUACAUUGUCUUGAAAGUGAAACAAAUAUGAAAUAAAGUUAAAU